Molecule: ribosomal RNA, 331 nt
Filed under: uncultured bacterium
Lineage: Bacteria
Description: bacterial SSU rRNA
Rfam family: Bacterial small subunit ribosomal RNA
Source: RNAcentral
GUACUAAUACCGCAUGAGACCACAGAUGGGCAUCCAUCAGGGGUCAAGAUUUAUCGGUAAGAGGUGGGCUCGCGUCUGAUUAGAUAGUUGGUGGGGUAAUGGCCUACCAAGUCGACGAUCAGUAGCCGACCUGAGAGGGUGAUCGGCCACACUGGAACCUGAGAAACGGUCCAGACUCCUACGGGAGGCAGCAGUAGGGAAUAUUGGGCAAUGGGCGAAAGCCUGACCCAGCAACGCCGCGUGAAGGAAGAAGGUCUUCGGAUUGUAAACUUCUGUUGUAAGGGAAAAACAAAUGAUGGUACCUUACGAGGAAGCUACGGCAAACUACGUG